CCUACGGGAGGCAGCAGUGAGGAAUAUUGGUCAAUGGACGAGAGUCUGAACCAGCCAAGUAGCGUGAAGGAUGACUGCCCUAUGGGUUGUAAACUUCUUUUAUAUGGGAAUAAAACAGGGUAUGCAUACCCUCUUGUAUGUACCAUAUGAAUAAGGAUCGGCUAACUCCGUGCCAGCAGCCGCGGUAAUACGGAGGAUCCGAGCGUUAUCCGGAUUUAUUGGGUUUAAACGGAUCGUAGGUGGAUAGUUAAGUCAGGUGUGAAAGUUUGCGGCUCAACCGUAAAAUUGCAGUUGAAACUGGCAGGCGUGAGUACAGUAGAGGUGGGCGGAAUUGGUGGUGUAGCGGUGAAAGGCUUAGAUAUCACGAAGAACUCCGAUUGCGAAGGCAGCUCACUGGACUGCAACUGACACUGAUGCUCGAAAGUGUGGGUAUCAAACAGGAUUAGAUACUGUAGUC
This 457-nucleotide ribosomal RNA is filed under the name uncultured bacterium. Its description in RNAcentral is "partial 16S ribosomal RNA". It matches the Rfam family "Bacterial small subunit ribosomal RNA", at positions 338 to 795 of the family's 1533-position model. The record is from RNAcentral.